UACGGGGGGGGUAAGCGUUGUUCGGAAUUACUGGGCGUAAAGGGCUCGUAGGUGGUUUGUCGCGUUGUUCGUGAAAACUCACAGCUCAACUGUGGGCGUGCGGGCGAUACGGGCAGACGUUGAGUACUGCAGGGGAGACUGGAAUUCCUGGUGUAGCGGUGGAAUGCGCAGAUAUCAGGAGGAACACCGGUGGCGAAGGCGGGUCUCUGGGCAGUAACUGACGCUGAGGAGCGAAAGCGUGGGGAGCGAACAGG
This 254-nucleotide ribosomal RNA is filed under the name uncultured bacterium. RNAcentral describes it as "partial 16S ribosomal RNA". It matches the Rfam family "Bacterial small subunit ribosomal RNA", at positions 524 to 776 of the family's 1533-position model. The record is from RNAcentral.